This 74-nucleotide small RNA is filed under the name Xanthomonas arboricola. RNAcentral's name for it is "sX9". The record is from RNAcentral. Lineage: Bacteria; Pseudomonadati; Pseudomonadota; Gammaproteobacteria; Lysobacterales; Lysobacteraceae.
AGGUGCCACUCAUACUGCGAUUGCUCGGCGCCAUCCGCAUCGGCUUGACGACCGCUCGCUACGUUCCGUUAGCC